Molecule: ribosomal RNA, 477 nt
Filed under: uncultured bacterium
Lineage: Bacteria
Description: partial 16S ribosomal RNA
Rfam family: Bacterial small subunit ribosomal RNA
Source: RNAcentral
AUUGAACGCUGGCGGCAUGCCUUACACAUGCAAGUCGAACGGUAACAGGUUAAGCUGACGAGUGGCGAACGGGUGAGUAAUGUAUCGGAACGUGCCCAGUCGUGGGGGAUAACUGCUCGAAAGAGCAGCUAAUACCGCAUACGACCUGAGGGUGAAAGCGGUGGAUCGCAAGACCUCGCGCGAUUGGAGCGGCCGAUAUCAGAUUAGGUAGUUGGUGAGGUAAAGGCUCACCAAGCCGACGAUCUGUAGCUGGUCUGAGAGGGCGACCAGCCACACUGGGACUGAGACACGGCCCAGACUCCUACGGGAGGCAGCAGUGGGGAAUUUUGGACAAUGGGCGCAAGCCUGAUCCAGCCAUGCCGCGUGCGGGAAGAAGGCCUUCGGGUUGUAAACCGCUUUUGUCAGGGAAGAAAAGGUUCUGGCUAAUAUCUGGGACUCAUGACGGUACCUGAAGAAUAAGCACCGGCUAACUACGUG